Molecule: long non-coding RNA, 1781 nt
Organism: Taeniopygia guttata (zebra finch)
Lineage: Eukaryota; Metazoa; Chordata; Aves; Passeriformes; Estrildidae
Source: Ensembl
AUGGGCGUUUCCAGCACGAAAGAGACCCCAGAACGGGAAUUUUCACCCCAAAAUUCGGGAUUUUUUAGCCCAAAAUCCACCCCGAAACCGGCCAAGGUCACCCCAAAAUCCACCCGGAAAUGGGAAUUUUUUUUAACCCCGAAAUUGGGAAUUUUCGCCCCAAAUUCCACCCCAAAACCUGGGAAGGUUCACCCCGAAACUCCUCCCCGAAAUUGGGAAUUUUCGACCCAAAAUCCACCCCCAAACUGGGAAAAGUCACCCCAAAAUCCACCCCGAAAUUGGGAAUUUUCACUCCAAACUCCGCCCCAAAAGUGGGAAUUUUUAACCCAAAAUCCACCCCGAAACUGGGAAUUUUUAACCCAAAAUCCACCCCAAAACUGGGAAUUUUCACCCCAAAAUCCACCCCAAAACUGGGAAUUUUCACCCCAAAAUGGGAAUUUUCACCUCCAGAAUCUGCCCCCAAAUCCACCCCCAAAACUCGGCCUUUUCACCCCAAAACCCAACCCCGAAUUUCCACAUUUUCACCCCGAAAAGGACAUUUUUGACCCAAAAAAUGACAUUUUUUACCCCAAAAUCCGCCCUCAGAGCGGGCGUUUCCAUCCCAAAAUCCACCUGCAACCUGAGCGUUUUCACCCUAAAAACAACCCCCAAACCGGCCGUUUUCACCCCAAAUUGUGCCCCAAAAUCUGCCCCAAAAUUGGCAUUUUUCACCCCAAAAUCCACCCCCAAACCGGCCGUUUUCACCCCAAAUUGUGCCCUAAAAUCCAACCCAAAAUUGGCGUUUUUCGCCCCAAAAUCCACCCCCAAACUGGGCAAUUUUCACCCCAAAACUGAGAAUUUCCUCAUUCAAAUCCAUCCCAAAACUUCACAUUUUAACCUCAAAAAUUCCAAACUUUUAACCCCAAAAUCCACCCGAAAAUUCCAAAUUCCGACCCCAAAACCCUCCCCAAAAAUGGGAAUUUUUAACCCCAAAGUCCGCCCCGAAUUCCGACUUUUACCCCCAAAAAAAUUCCAAAUUCCAACCCCAAAGUCCACCGUAAAAUUCCAAAAUUUAACCUCAAAAUUCCCAAUUUUAACCCCAAAAUCCACCCCAAAAAGUGGGAAUUUUCACCUUUAAGUCCACCCAAAAAAUGGGAAAUUUUACCCCAAAGUUCACCCAAAAAAAAAGGGAAUUUCCACCUUAAAAUCCACCCCAAAAUUCCGAUUUCCCGCCCCCUUGGCCCCGCCCCUUUCCCAGGCCCCGCCCCCGUCUCUCACCUCCGCCAAUCACGUGCAGGGAGGGAGGGGCUUAACCCGGAAGUGCCGGCGCUGACUCCACCUCCGUUGAGGGCGGGGCUUCAGCCAUGGCCACGCCCCCCGCGAGGCUCCGCCCCCGCGGCUUUGGGGCUAAAUCCCCCAAAUUCGGGGCUAAAAAACCCCAAUUUUCUGCUGAACCCCCAAAUUUCGGGUCCGAAACCCCAAAAUUUGGGAACAAACCCCCCAAAACCUUUUAAAAUCACCCAGAUUUGAUUAAAAUUUCCCAAAAUCUCCUUAAAAUUCCCCAAUUUUGGAUUAGAACCCCCAAACCUCCUUAAAAUCCCCCAAUAUUGAGUCCAAACCCCCAAAUUUCAUUCAGAACCCCCAAUUUUGGGUCCAAACCCCCCAAAACCUUUUAAAAUCACCCAAAUUUGAUUAAGAUUUCCCAAACUUCUUUAAAAUCUCCCAAAUUCGGGUCGAAAACCCCAAAACCUCCUUAAAAUCCCCGAAAUUUGGGUCCAACCCCAAAACAUCCUUUAAAUCCC